This 73-nucleotide transfer RNA is filed under the name Leptospira sp. GIMC2001. Its description in RNAcentral is "tRNA-Arg". It matches the Rfam family "tRNA". From Rfam's summary of the family: Transfer RNA (tRNA) molecules are approximately 80 nucleotides in length. Their secondary structure includes four short double-helical elements and three loops (D, anti-codon, and T loops). The record is from RNAcentral. Lineage: Bacteria; Pseudomonadati; Spirochaetota; Leptospiria; Leptospirales; Leptospiraceae.
GCUCCCGUAGCUCAGGUGGAUAGAGCAUUAGUUUCCUAAACUAUGUGCACAGGUUCGAGUCCUGUCGGGGGCA